Long non-coding RNA from Epinephelus lanceolatus (giant grouper), 445 nucleotides. RefSeq lists it as uncharacterized. Lineage: Eukaryota; Metazoa; Chordata; Actinopteri; Perciformes; Serranidae. The record is from RefSeq and is a predicted model, not a curated record.
GAAGAUCUUUGUCAGGGGUUUGAGCCAGGAAGCGACAGUGGAAACCAUCAGGGAACAUUUCAGGGCCUUCGGAGAGAUUGAAAUUGUUGAGUUUUUCUACGAUUGCAAUUCAAAGAAGGAUUUCAUCUUCGUCACGUACAAAGAUGAAGCCAGCAUCAAGAGGUGUUUGAAGAAGAAAUACCUCAACAUCCAGGGCCUCUGGUGUAAGCUGGAGAUUGCCCGGCCAAAAGAAGAGUACCUGCAGCAGCGGCACUUUUAGAGAGAUUUUUUUUGGGGGGGAUUUUAAGCCUUUAUUAUAGACCAUAGAGAGAUGCAACAAAGACCCCAGGGGUGGAAGAAGUUCUCAUAUCUUUUGCUCAAGUAACAGCAGCAAUACUGAAAUGUAGAAAUACUCCGUUAUUAAAAGUCCUGCAUUCAAGUUUUUACUGAAGUAAAACUGCAAAAG